Molecule: ribosomal RNA, 627 nt
Filed under: Triticum aestivum (bread wheat)
Lineage: Eukaryota; Viridiplantae; Streptophyta; Magnoliopsida; Poales; Poaceae
Description: partial small subunit ribosomal RNA
Source: RNAcentral
AUAACAGAUGCAUGGACUGACAUAAGAGGAAGAGGGGUAAUGAAUCUUGUAGUUCAUAGUGCUCAUGGGGUGGUGUUUCUUAAUUCUGUGGACUGUUCAGCCGUGAAGAAAGAUGGGAAGUACAUCUUUGAGCUUGUUGAUAGAUGCAUAGAAGAGGUUGGUGAGAAGCAUGUAGUUCAAGUUGUGACUGAUAAUGCAAGUGUUAAUCAAGCGGCAUCAACCUUGUUGAAAGCAAAGCGCCCCACCAUAUUUUGGAAUGGUUGUGCUGCCCAUUCUAUUGAUCUGAUGUUUGAGGAUAUUGGCAAGCUUAAAACAGUGGACUCUACUAUUACACAAGCUAGAGCUGUCACUGUUUUCCUUUAUGCACACACUAGAGUUUUGUCUCUAAUGAGGGAAUUCCUUGGAAAAGAUCUGGUGAGGUCUGGCAUUACAAGAUUUGCUGCAGCUUACUUGAACUUGAAAAGCAUGCUGGACAACAAGAAAGAACUGCAGAAGCUAUUCAGAUCGGAUCAGAUGGAUGAAAUGGGUUACUUAAAAAAGGUGAAAGGACGUGAUUCAAACCGAAGUGUGCGCUCUGAAAAUUUUUGGACAGGAGUAGAACGUGCUAUCAACUUCUUUGAGCCUUUG